UGCCAGCAGCCGCGGUAACACGUACCGUACGAACGUUAUUCGGAAUUACUGGGCGUAAAGCGCGCGUAGGCGGCUUUGUAAGUCGGAUGUGAAAGCCCUGGGCUUAACCUGGGAAUGGCAUUCGAAACUGCAGAGCUAGAGUAUGGUAGAGGGAAGUGGAAUUUCCGGUGUAGCGGUGAAAUGCGUAGAUAUCGGAAGGAACACCAGUGGCGAAGGCGACUUCCUGGGCCAAUACUGACGCUGAGGUGCGAAGGCUAGGGUAGCGAAGCGGAUUAGAUA
Molecule: ribosomal RNA, 279 nt
Filed under: uncultured bacterium
Lineage: Bacteria
Description: partial 16S ribosomal RNA
Rfam family: Bacterial small subunit ribosomal RNA
Source: RNAcentral